AUUGAACGCUGGCGGCAUGCCUUACACAUGCAAGUCGAACGGCAGCACGGGGGCAACCCUGGUGGCGAGUGGCGAACGGGUGAGUAAUGCAUCGGAACGUGCCCAGUAGUGGGGAUAACUAGUCGAAAGAUUAGCUAAUACCGCAUACGACCUAUGGGUGAAAGCGGGGGAUUCGCAAGAACCUCGCGCUAUCGGAGCGGCCGAUGUCUGAUUAGCUAGNGGCGGGUAAAGGCCCACCAAGGCUUCGAUCAGUAGCUGGUCUGAGAGGACGACCAGCCACACUGGGACUGAGACACGGCCCAGACUCCUACGGGAGGCAGCAGUGGGGAAUUUUGGACAAUGGGCGCAAGCCUGAUCCAGCCAUGCCGCGUGCGGGAAGAAGGCCU
This 386-nucleotide ribosomal RNA is filed under the name uncultured bacterium. RNAcentral's name for it is "bacterial SSU rRNA". It matches the Rfam family "Bacterial small subunit ribosomal RNA", at positions 29 to 417 of the family's 1533-position model. The record is from RNAcentral.